This 119-nucleotide non-coding RNA is filed under the name Pseudo-nitzschia australis. Lineage: Eukaryota; Bacillariophyta; Bacillariophyceae; Bacillariales; Bacillariaceae. The record is from RNAcentral.
UUGGAAAGGGACACGGAGCAGGGGAUCCAUCGAACGUUGGUGUCGACCCUGAGGGAGCUCCAUUGGAAGGCCAAGGACUUGGAUGGAAGAAUAGGUUUGGAACAGGCAAGGGUGGAGAC